Molecule: long non-coding RNA, 339 nt
Filed under: Elaeis guineensis (African oil palm)
Lineage: Eukaryota; Viridiplantae; Streptophyta; Magnoliopsida; Arecales; Arecaceae
Description: long non-coding RNA (EGUI_LNC069963)
Source: RNAcentral
AUGGUAGAAUAUCUAUAUCAGUAUAUAUUCUUGAGUUAUAUUUGUUCGAUAUGUUAGAAGGAUUCCAAGCAAUCGACCAAUGAAAGUUGAAUAUGCUAUAGAUACGUAGGAUGCAUUCUGGCUUUAAUGAUAGUUACAGAACUGGAUGUCAUACUAUUGAAUGUUAUGACAUUGUACUGUAAAGAUAAUAGUUUAUAGCCCUCGCCAAAGGGUCAAUGUCUCACCAAAAGUCUAUGCACAUAGAGCAGGGGUAUAUGCGAUUGCCUCAAGUGGAAAUACAUAGAGGCACAGAGAGUAGACUCCACAUGGAAUAUGGUAGGCCCAAGUCACUUAGCUAGC